CCUACGGGAGGCAGCAGUGAGGAAUAUUGGUCAAUGGACGAGAGUCUGAACCAGCCAAGUAGCGUGAAGGAUGACUGCCCUGUGUGUUGUAAACUUCUUUUAUAUGGGAAUAAAAUGUUCCACGUGUGGGCUUUUGUAUGUACCCUAUGAAUAAGGCUCGGCUAACUCCGUGCCAGCAGCCGCGGUAAUACGGAGGAUCCGAGCGUUAUCCGGAUUUAUUGGGUUUAAAGGGAGCGUAGGUGGGUUGUUAAGUCAGUUGUGAAAGGGUGCGGGUCAACCGGAAAAUUGCAGUUGAAACUAGCAGUCUUGAGGAGAGGAGAGGUGGGCGGAAUGCGUGGUGUAGCGGUGAAAUGCUUAGAGAUCACGAAGAACUCCGAUUGCGAAGGCAGCUCACUGGACUGAAACUGACACUGAGGCUCGAAAGUGUGGGUAUCAAACAGGAUUAGAUACCCCAGUAGUC
Molecule: ribosomal RNA, 460 nt
Filed under: uncultured bacterium
Lineage: Bacteria
Description: partial 16S ribosomal RNA
Rfam family: Bacterial small subunit ribosomal RNA
Source: RNAcentral